CUACGGGUCGCUGCAGUAAGGAAUAUUGCGCAAUGGAGGCAACUCUGACGCAGCCAUGCCGCGUGCAGGAAGAAGGCCUUAUGGGUCGUAAACUGCUUUUAUUUAGGAAUAAACCCCCGAACGUGUUCGGGGCUGAAGGUACUAAACGAAUAAGCACCGGCUAACUCCGUGCCAGCAGCCGCGGUAAUACGGAGGGUGCAAGCGUUAUCCGGAUUUAUUGGGUUUAAAGGGUGCGCAGGCGGGCUAUUAAGUCAGUGGUGAAAUCCCGGGGCUCAACUCCGGAACUGCCAUUGAUACUGAUAGUCUUGAGUUUGGUUGAAGUGAGCGGAAUGUAGCAUGUAGCGGUGAAAUGCAUAGAUAUGCUACAGAACACCAAUCGCGAAGGCAGCUCACUAAGCCAAAACUGACGCUCAUGCACGAAAGCGUGGGGAUCAAACAGGAUUAGAUACCCUAGUAGUC
Molecule: ribosomal RNA, 459 nt
Filed under: uncultured bacterium
Lineage: Bacteria
Description: partial 16S ribosomal RNA
Rfam family: Bacterial small subunit ribosomal RNA
Source: RNAcentral